CAGCGAAAGGUGCUUGCACCUUUCAAGUGAGUGGCGAACGGGUGAGUAACACGUGGACAACCUGCCUCAAGGCUGGGGAUAACAUUUGGAAACAGAUGCUAAUACCGAAUAAAACUUAGUGUCGCAUGACAAAAAGUUAAAAGGCGCUUCGGCGUCACCUAGAGAUGGAUCCGCGGUGCAUUAGUUAGUUGGUGGGGUAAAGGCCUACCAAGACAAUGAUGCAUAGCCGAGUUGAGAGACUGAUCGGCCACAUUGGGACUGAGACACGGCCCAAACUCCUACGGGAGGCUGCAGUAGGGAAUCUUCCACAAUGGGCGAAAGCCUGAUGGAGCAACGCCGCGUGUGUGAUGAAGGCUUUCGGGUCGUAAAGCACUGUUGUAUGGGAAGAACAGCUAGAAUAGGAAAUGAUUUUAGUUUGACGGUACCAUACCAGAAAGGGACGGCUAACUACGUGCCAGCA
Molecule: ribosomal RNA, 460 nt
Filed under: Leuconostoc mesenteroides
Lineage: Bacteria; Bacillati; Bacillota; Bacilli; Lactobacillales; Lactobacillaceae
Description: bacterial SSU rRNA
Rfam family: Bacterial small subunit ribosomal RNA
Source: RNAcentral